CUGUGUGUUGUUGGGUAGGGGAGCGUUCUGUAAGCCUGUGAAGGUGUGUUGUGAGGCAUGCUGGAGGUAUCAGAAGUGCGAAUGCUGACAUAAGUAACGAUAAAGCGGGUGAAAAGCCCGCUCGCCGGAAGACCAAGGGUUCCUGUCCAACGUUAAUCGGGGCAGGGUGAGUCGACCCCUAAGGCGAGGCCGAAAGGCGUAGUCGAUGGGAAACGGGUUAAUAUUCCCGUACUUGGUGUUACUGCGAAGGGGGGACGGAGAAGGCUAUGUUGGCCGGGCGACGGUUGUCCCGGUUUAAGCGUGUAGGUGUGUGUUCCAGGUAAAUCCGGUUCACUUUAACACUGAGGCGUGAUGACGAGGCACUACGGUGCUGAAGCAACAAAUGCCCUGCUUCCAGGAAAAGCCUCUAAGCAUCAGGUAACAUCAAAUCGUACCCCAAACCGACACAGGUGGUCAGGUAGAGAAUACCAAGGCGCUUGAGAGAACUCGGGUGAAGGAACUAGGCAAAAUGGUGCCGUAACUUCGGGAGAAGGCACGCUGACACGUAGGUGAAGUGAUUUACUCAUGGAGCUGAAGUCAGUCGAAGAUACCAGCUGGCUGCAACUGUUUAUUAAAAACACAGCACUGUGCAAACACGAAAGUGGACGUAUACGGUGUGACGCCUGCCCGGUGCCGGAAGGUUAAUUGAUGGGGUCAGCGCAAGCGAAGCUCCUGAUCGAAGCCCCGGUAAACGGCGGCCGUAACUAUAACGGUCCUAAGGUAGCGAAAUUCCUUGUCGGGUAAGUUCCGACCUGCACGAAUGGCGUAAUGAUGGCCAGGCUGUCUCCACCCGAGACUCAGUGAAAUUGAACUCGCUGUGAAGAUGCAGUGUACCCGCGGCAAGACGGAAAGACCCCGUGAACCUUUACUAUAGCUUGACACUGAACAUUGAGCCUUGAUGUGUAG
Molecule: ribosomal RNA, 945 nt
Filed under: Salmonella enterica subsp. enterica serovar Virchow
Lineage: Bacteria; Pseudomonadati; Pseudomonadota; Gammaproteobacteria; Enterobacterales; Enterobacteriaceae
Description: partial 23S ribosomal RNA
Rfam family: Bacterial large subunit ribosomal RNA
Source: RNAcentral